Molecule: long non-coding RNA, 440 nt
Organism: Oncorhynchus tshawytscha (Chinook salmon)
Lineage: Eukaryota; Metazoa; Chordata; Actinopteri; Salmoniformes; Salmonidae
Source: Ensembl
GGGGUCUACUUCAGAGUGCAUUUAAACAGAGGUAGUGGUGUGACUGAAACCCAUGUGACUGAAACCCAUGCCAGAGGCAGCCGUGUGGUGGUGUGACUGAAACCCAUGUGACUGAAACCCAUGCCAGAGGCAGCCGUGUGGUGGGGUGACUGAAACCCAUGCCCGAGGCAGCCGUGUGGUGGGGUGACUGACACCCAUGCCCGAGGCAGCCGUGUGGUGGGGUGACUGAAACCCAUGCCCGAGGCAGCCGUGCGGUGGGGAGACUGAAACCCAUGCCCGAGGCAGCCGUGCGGUGGGGUGACUGAAACCCAUGCCCGAGGCAGCCGUGUGGUGGGGUGACUGAAACCCAUGCCCGAGGCAGCCGUGUGGUGGGGAGAAAUAAUUCUGUAAAUGGUGGACGGAGAUGUCUUUGUAACUCCUCUGACUGACAGCACAGCCCU